Molecule: long non-coding RNA, 212 nt
Filed under: Malus domestica (apple)
Lineage: Eukaryota; Viridiplantae; Streptophyta; Magnoliopsida; Rosales; Rosaceae
Description: long non-coding RNA (MDOM_LNC020735)
Source: RNAcentral
AAAACUGCCUAAAACCACUUUCUGGGCAGUUUUGAGCACCUACACUAAUUUGGACGAAAUUUGAUGAAAACUUGAAUCAAAAUACUUAGAAACACAAAUCAAAACACUUUCUAACUAAUCUAAGACUUCAAAUUAAAGGGGGAUUUUGUUUUGACGAAAAUUAAACUAAAGAAAACAGAUUGGAAAUAGGGCAGAUUGUAAAAACGAUUUUG